RNAcentral lists this ribosomal RNA (751 nucleotides) under Bacteroidetes bacterium SCGC AAA160-N02. Its description in RNAcentral is "bacterial SSU rRNA". It matches the Rfam family "Bacterial small subunit ribosomal RNA", at positions 84 to 833 of the family's 1533-position model. The record is from RNAcentral. Lineage: Bacteria; Pseudomonadati; Bacteroidota.
UCCGCUGACGACCGGCGCACGGGUGCGUAACGCGUAUGCAACCUACCUUUUACAGGGGUAUAGUCAAGAGAAAUUUUGAAUAACACCCCAUACGAUCAUUUUUACACCUGUAAAGAUGAAGAAAACUCCGGUGGUAAAAGAUGGGCAUGCGUCCUAUUAGUUAGUUGGUGAGGUAACGGCUCACCAAGACCGCGAUAGGUAGGGGUCCUGAGAGGGAGAUCCCCCACACUGGUACUGAGACACGGACCAGACUCCUACGGGAGGCAGCAGUGAGGAAUAUUGGACAAUGGAGGCAACUCUGAUCCAGCCAUGCCGCGUGCAGGAAGACUGCCCUAUGGGUUGUAAACUGCUUUUAUACAGGAAGAAACCUUGGUACGUGUACCAAGCUGACGGUACUGUAAGAAUAAGGAUCGGCUAACUCCGUGCCAGCAGCCGCGGUAAUACGGAGGAUCCAAGCGUUAUCCGGAAUCAUUGGGUUUAAAGGGUCCGCAGGCGGUCUUUUAAGUCAGAGGUGAAAUCCUAUCGCUCAACGAUAGAACUGCCUUUGAUACUGAAAGACUUGAGUUAUUGUGAAGUGGUUAGAAUAUGUAGUGUAGCGGUGAAAUGCAUAGAUAUUACAUAGAAUACCGAUUGCGAAGGCAGAUCACUAACAAUACACUGACGCUGAGGGACGAAAGCGUGGGUAGCGAACAGGAUUAGAUACCCUGGUAGUCCACGCCGUAAACGAUGGAUACUAGCUGUUUGACCAACA